ACUGAAUUGAAAUGCAGGACAUUAUUCGUAAAGUUUCAUAAAACAAAUCGAACGAGUUUAUUAUCUCGUGAAGCUUUAGAAACUGACUACAAAGGUUUUUUUAAUUUAGUAGUUUUAUUAAUUAUUAUAAUAAAUUUGAAAAUAUUUAUAGAUAAUAUUAAACAGUAUGGUUUUAAAAUAAAUUUACCUAGUUAUUCAAAAUUAAUAAGCAAUUUACCCUUAUUUAUAUGCUUUAUUUGUUUAAACAUAAGUGUUAUUUUCAGUUGGUUUAUAGAGAGGUAUGUCGCUUGUUGGCUAUCUACUUGCGUAGAUAAUAAAAAAAUAGAUGACUGGAAUUAUAAUAAUGCAAGUAGUAAUAGUACUAAUCAUGUGAAAAUUCAUGAUGAUCAAACUGAUAGUCAAUUAAAUAAUUAUGAAAAAAAAGAUGGUAUUUUUAUCAAAGGUAGUAAAAAUAAAAAUAAAAAAAACGUACUUCGAAUAAGAGACAUAUUAAAAAGAGAAAAACAUAUAAAUGUAUUAAAAAAUAAUAGUAACGACAGUAUUUACGAAAAUCCCGAUAACAGCAUUGAACAGAGUAUUGAUGAAGAAAUUGUUAAGAAAAAAACAAAAGAAAGUACUAAAGACAGUAUCUACGACAUUAGUAACUCUAGCAGUACUGGAAUUAACAACGGAAACUGUAACUAUAUUGAUAGCAACUGCAUAAGUAGCGAUUGUAUGGGUAGCAGUAGUAUCAAUUAUAGCUACAUUAAUAAUGACAUUAUUAAAAGCAACAACAACUUGAAACUUGUUAGUACAAACAAAAAAUGGACAACACAUGGAUGGAAAAAUUUCCAUUUAUCUAUUUUUUUAUUAAGAUGUAUUAAUAGCAUUUUUAUUAUAUUUUUUCCAUAUUUGAUAGUAUCAAGAUAUAACUUAGAACCAAUACUGUCUAUGCUAUUAUUAACAACAUCUGUUGUAUGGUUUUUUAAAAUGUAUUCUUAUCAUCAAGUAUGUUCUGAAACGAGGAAAUUAUAUAUAGAUAAUGUUGACUUAAAUAGUUUUGAUGACCCUUCAUUGGAUAUUCAAUACAUUAAAACAUAUCCAUAUUGUUUGAAUUUAAAAAAUCAUUAUACAUACAUAUUAAUGCCAACCAUGUGUUUUCAAUUUACAUACCCACGAACAGAAAAAAUCAGAUGGUUACAGGUAAUAAAACAUAUAAUAAACAUAGCUUGUUUACUAUUAAUGAUAAAAACAACAUCUGAAAAAUAUAUAUAUGAAAAAAUUGAAAAUAUUUUUCUUAAAGAGGAAUUUAAAUCUUUUCAAAUAAAUAUUAAAAUGGUUAUAUAAUAGAAAGAUUAGUACAAGUUUGUGUUCCAACUUUACAUCUUUGGUUAAUUGGUUUUUUAAUUGUAUUUCAUUAUUGGUGUAAUAUAUUAGCUGAGCUGACUAAAUUUGGUGAUAGAUUAUUUUAUAAAGAUUGGUGGAAUGCAAUAUCUUUCGCAGAUUAUUGGAGAAAAUGGAAUUUACCAAUACAUUUUUUUAUACACCGCCAUAUUAAUAAACCAUUAAUAUACUAUGGUUUGAACA
This 1566-nucleotide long non-coding RNA is filed under the name Piliocolobus tephrosceles (Ugandan red Colobus). RNAcentral describes it as "lncRNA (ENSPTEG00000010079.1)". The record is from RNAcentral. Lineage: Eukaryota; Metazoa; Chordata; Mammalia; Primates; Cercopithecidae.